GUAGGGUGCGAGCGUUAAUCGGAAUUACUGGGCGUAAAGCGUGCGCAGGCGGUUCGCUAAGACCGAUGUGAAAUCCCCGGGCUUAACCUGGGAACUGCAUUGGUGACUGGCGGGCUAGAGUAAGGCAGAGGGGGUAGGAAUUCCACGUGUAGCAGUGAAAUAGCGUAGAGAUGUGGAGGAAUACCGAUGGCGAAGGCAGCCCCUCGGGCCGAAUAACUGACGCUCAUGCACGAAAGACGUGGGGAGCAAACAGGAUUAGAUACCCUGGUAGUCCACGCCCUAAACGAUGUCAACUAGUUGUCGGGUCUUCAUUGACUUGGUAACGUAGCUAACGCGUGAAGUUGACCGCCUGGGGAGUACGGUCGCAAGAUUA
This 373-nucleotide ribosomal RNA is filed under the name uncultured bacterium. RNAcentral's name for it is "bacterial SSU rRNA". It matches the Rfam family "Bacterial small subunit ribosomal RNA", at positions 527 to 896 of the family's 1533-position model. The record is from RNAcentral.